RNAcentral lists this unclassified non-coding RNA (391 nucleotides) under soil metagenome. RNAcentral describes it as "partial contains 5.8S ribosomal RNA, internal transcribed spacer 2, and large subunit ribosomal RNA". The stretch from base 1 to 122 matches the Rfam family "5.8S ribosomal RNA", at positions 35 to 154 of the family's 154-position model. The record is from RNAcentral.
GAUGAAGAACGUAGCGAAAUGCGAUACUUGGUGUGAAUUGCAGAAUCCCGUGAACCAUCGAGUCUUUGAACGCAAGUUGCGCCCGAAGCCAUUAGGCCGAGGGCACGCCUGCCUGGGCGUCACACGUCGUUGCCCCCCCAUCUACUCCUUCGGGAUUGCGGGGGGCGGAUGAUGGCCUCCCGUGCGCCUCGUCGCGCGGUUGGCAUAAAUGCCAAGUCCUCGGCGACACACGCCACGACAAUCGGUGGUUGCGAAACCUCGGUUGCCCGUCGUGUGCGGUCGUCGCGCAUCGAGGGCUCGAAAAAAUUGCCGGGCUCCGGCUCGGCUUUCAACGCGACCCCGGGUCAGGCGGGGUUACCCGCUGAAUUUAAGCAUAUCAAUAAGCGGAGGA